UACGUAGGAGGCGAGCGUUGUCCGGAAUCACUGGGCGUAAAGCGCGUGUAGGCGGUGAGGGAAGUCUGCUGUGAAAACGCUCCGCUUAACGGGGCGAGGUCGGUGGAAACUCCCUGACUGGAGGACGGUAGAGGUAGGUGGAAUUCCCGGUGUAGUGGUGAAAUGCGUAGAGAUCGGGAGGAACACCUGUGGCGAAGGCGGCCUACUGGGCCGGACCUGACGCUGAGACGCGAAGGCGCGGGGAGCGAACGG
Molecule: ribosomal RNA, 252 nt
Filed under: uncultured bacterium
Lineage: Bacteria
Description: partial 16S ribosomal RNA
Rfam family: Bacterial small subunit ribosomal RNA
Source: RNAcentral